CUAACAGGAUUCCCCUAGUAACUGCGAGUGAAGCGGGAAAAGCUCAAAUUUAAAAUCUGGUGGUCUUUGGCCAUCCGAGUUGUAAUCUAGAGAAGUGUUACCCGCGCUGGACCGUGUACAAGUCUCCUGGAAUGGAGCGUCAUAGAGGGUGAGAAUCCCGUCUUUGACACGGACUGCCAGGGCUUUGUGGUGCGCUCUCAAAGAGUCGAGUUGUUUGGGAAUGCAGCUCAAAAUGGGUGGUAAAUUCCAUCUAAAGCUAAAUAUUGGCGAGAGACCGAUAGCGAACAAGUACCGUGAGGGAAAGAUGAAAAGAACUUUGGAAAGAGAGUUAAACAGUACGUGAAAUUGCUGAAAGGGAAACGCUUGAAGUCAGUCGCGUUGGCCGGGAAUCAACCUUGCUUUUGCUGGGCGUACUUUCCGGUCGACGGGUCAGCAUCAGUUUUGACCAUUGGAAAAAGUCUAGAGGAAUGUGGCAUCUCCGGAUGUGUUAUAGCCUCUGGUCGCAUACGAUGGUUGGGACUGAGGAACUCAGCACGCCGCAAGGCCGGGUACUUGUACCACGUUCGUGCUUAGGAUGCUGGCAUAAUGGCUUUAAUCGACCCGUCUUGAAACACGGACCAAGGAGUCUAACAUGCCUGCGAGUGUUUGGGUGGAAAACCCGAGCGCGUAAUGAAAGUGAAAGUUGAGAUCCCUGUCGUGGGGAGCAUCGACGCCCGGACCAGACGUUUUCUGACGGAUCCGCGGUAGAGCAUGUAUGUUGGGACCCGAAAGAUGGUGAACUAUGCCUGAAUAGGGUGAAGCCAGAGGAAACUCUGGUGGAGGCUCGUAGCGAUUCUGACGUGCAAAUCGAUCGUCAAAUUUGGGUAUAGGGGCGAAAGACUAAUCGAAACAUCUAGUAGCUGGUUCUGCA
This 910-nucleotide ribosomal RNA is filed under the name Agrocybe retigera. RNAcentral describes it as "partial large subunit ribosomal RNA". It matches the Rfam family "Eukaryotic large subunit ribosomal RNA", at positions 65 to 961 of the family's 3401-position model. Lineage: Eukaryota; Fungi; Basidiomycota; Agaricomycetes; Agaricales; Agrocybaceae. The record is from RNAcentral.